AUUGAAUGCUGGCGGCAUGCCUUACACAUGCAAGUCGUAACGGCAGCACGGGUGCUUGCACCUGGUGGCGAGUGGCGAAACGGGUGAGUAAUACAUCGGAAUGUACCUUGUAGUGGGGGAUAGCUCGGCGAAAGCCGGAUUAAUACCGCAUACGCUCUGAGGAGGAAAAGCGGGGGACCUUCGGGCCUCGUGCUACAAGAGCAGCCGAUGUCAGAUUAGCUUGUU
RNAcentral lists this ribosomal RNA (225 nucleotides) under uncultured Pandoraea sp. Its description in RNAcentral is "partial 16S ribosomal RNA". It matches the Rfam family "Bacterial small subunit ribosomal RNA", at positions 30 to 250 of the family's 1533-position model. The record is from RNAcentral. Lineage: Bacteria; Pseudomonadati; Pseudomonadota; Betaproteobacteria; Burkholderiales; Burkholderiaceae.